UCCGUCAAGCGCCUCCCGCGCG
RNAcentral lists this microRNA (22 nucleotides) under Ornithorhynchus anatinus (platypus). RNAcentral describes it as "Oan-Novel-13_5p* (star (passenger))". Lineage: Eukaryota; Metazoa; Chordata; Mammalia; Monotremata; Ornithorhynchidae. The record is from RNAcentral.